GGAGGAAAGUAGGGGAUCGCAAGACCUGGCGCUUUUUGAGCGGCCGAUGCCUGAUUAGCUAGUUGGUAAGGUAAUGGCUUACCAAGGCAACGAUCAGUAGCUGGUCUGAGAGGACGACCAGCCACACUGGGACUGAGACACGGCCCAGACUCCUACGGGAGGCAGCAGUGGGGAAUUUUGGACAAUGGGCGAAAGCCUGAUCCAGCCAUGCCGCGUGAGUGAAGAAGGCCUUCGGGUUGUAAAGCUCUUUCGGUCGGGAAGAAAUAGUUGUGGCUAAUAUCCACAAUGAAUGACGGUACCGACAUAAGAAGCACCGGCUAACUACGUGCCAGCAGCCGCGGUAAUACGUAGGGUGCAAGCGUUAAUCGGAAUUAUUGGGCGUAAAGGGUGCGCAGGCGGUUGUAUAAGUCAGAUGUGAAGUCCCUGGGCUUAACCUAGGAAUUGCGUUUGAAACUACAAAGCUAG
RNAcentral lists this ribosomal RNA (465 nucleotides) under uncultured ammonia-oxidizing bacterium. Its description in RNAcentral is "bacterial SSU rRNA". It matches the Rfam family "Bacterial small subunit ribosomal RNA", at positions 198 to 644 of the family's 1533-position model. The record is from RNAcentral.